UCCCUGGAGGACUAGUGAUUAGGCCUUAGCGCUCUCACCUCUGCAGCCCGGGUUCAAUUCUCAGCCAGGGAA
RNAcentral lists this transfer RNA (72 nucleotides) under Pangasianodon hypophthalmus (striped catfish). RNAcentral's name for it is "tRNA-Glu". Lineage: Eukaryota; Metazoa; Chordata; Actinopteri; Siluriformes; Pangasiidae. The record is from RNAcentral.